AGUCGAGCGGAUGACAGGAGCUUGCUCCUGAAUUCAGCGGCGGACGGGUGAGUAAUGCCUAGGAAUCUGCCUGGUAGUGGGGGACAACGUUUCGAAAGGAACGCUAAUACCGCAUACGUCCUACGGGAGAAAGCAGGGGACCUUCGGGCCUUGCGCUAUCAGAUGAGCCUAGGUCGGAUUAGCUAGUUGGUGAGGUAAUGGCUCACCAAGGCGACGAUCCGUAACUGGUCUGAGAGGAUGAUCAGUCACACUGGAACUGAGACACGGUCCAGACUCCUACGGGAGGCAGCAGUGGGGAAUAUUGGACAAUGGGCGAAAGCCUGAUCCAGCCAUGCCGCGUGUGUGAAGAAGGUCUUCGGAUUGUAAAGCACUUUAAGUUGGGAGGAAGGGUUGUAGAUUAAUACUCUGCAAUUUUGACGUUACCGACAGAAUAAGCACCGGCUAACUCUGUGCCAGCAGCCGCGGUAAUACAGAGGGUGCAAGCGUUAAUCGGAAUUACUGGGCGUAAAGCGCGCGUAGGUGGUUCGUUAAGUUGGAUGUGAAAUCCCCGGGCUCAACCUGGGAACUGCAUUCAAAACUGUCGAGCUAGAGUAUGGUAGAGGGUGGUGGAAUUUCCUGUGUAGCGGUGAAAUGCGUAGAU
Molecule: ribosomal RNA, 640 nt
Filed under: Pseudomonas sp. TAD001
Lineage: Bacteria; Pseudomonadati; Pseudomonadota; Gammaproteobacteria; Pseudomonadales; Pseudomonadaceae
Description: bacterial SSU rRNA
Rfam family: Bacterial small subunit ribosomal RNA
Source: RNAcentral